ACCCAGCUGGUUUAGUCGGUAGAGCACGAAACUCUUGAUUUUGGGGUUAUGAGUUCAAACCCCACGUUGGGCC
RNAcentral lists this transfer RNA (73 nucleotides) under Nyctereutes procyonoides (raccoon dog). It matches the Rfam family "tRNA". From Rfam's summary of the family: Transfer RNA (tRNA) molecules are approximately 80 nucleotides in length. The record is from Rfam by way of RNAcentral. Lineage: Eukaryota; Metazoa; Chordata; Mammalia; Carnivora; Canidae.